This 253-nucleotide ribosomal RNA is filed under the name uncultured bacterium. RNAcentral describes it as "partial 16S ribosomal RNA". It matches the Rfam family "Bacterial small subunit ribosomal RNA", at positions 524 to 776 of the family's 1533-position model. The record is from RNAcentral.
UACGUAGGGGGCUAGCGUUGUCCGGAAUCAUUGGGCGUAAAGAGCGUGUAGGCGGUCCGGUAAGUCCGCUGUGAAAGUCGGGGGCUCAACCCUCGAAUGCCGGUGGAUACUGUCGGGCUAGAGUGCGGAAGAGGCGAGUGGAAUUCCUGGUGUAGCGGUGAAAUGCGCAGAUAUCAGGAGGAACACCAGUGGCGAAGGCGACUUCCUGGCCUGUUCUUGACGCUGAGGCGCGAAAGCUAGGGUAGCAAACGGG